CUGUUACCUAUCUGGGCAUAAUUCUCAUAAAAACACAGGUGCUCUCCCUGCUGAUCAUGUCCGAAUAAUCUCCCAAACCUCAAUCCCUUACAAAACAACAACUCCUUUCCUUCCUAGGCAUGGUUAGCGUGGUCGGAAUUCUUACACAAUAGCCAGGACCACACCGUGUAGCCUUUCUGUCCAAACAACUUGACCUUACUG
This 201-nucleotide long non-coding RNA is filed under the name Homo sapiens (human). RNAcentral describes it as "non-protein coding lnc-ARSF-9:2". The record is from RNAcentral. Lineage: Eukaryota; Metazoa; Chordata; Mammalia; Primates; Hominidae.